Molecule: non-coding RNA, 23 nt
Filed under: Arabidopsis thaliana (thale cress)
Lineage: Eukaryota; Viridiplantae; Streptophyta; Magnoliopsida; Brassicales; Brassicaceae
Source: RNAcentral
GACCAUGUUCUUUUCUUCGCCGC